UCGCCCGGGAACUACGAGCCCAGCCUUAAAACCCAAAGGACUUGACGGUGCCCCACAUCCCCCUAGAGGAGCCUGUCCUAUAAUCGAUGAUCCACGUUUUACCUCACCUCUUCUUGCCAACCCGCCUGUAUACCUCCGUCGUCAGCUCACCGCAUGAUCGGUCAAUAGUGAGCAAAAUGGCCAAGCGCCAAAACGUCAGGUCAAGGUGCAGCACAUGAAUAGGGUAGAGAUGGGCUACAUUUUCUAAAUUAGAAAAUUAACGGAAGACUCAAUGAAACCCAGUCAGAAGGCGGAUUUAGCAGUAAAAGGAAACCAGAAAGUCCUUUUUAACACGGCCCAGGGGAUGU
RNAcentral lists this ribosomal RNA (347 nucleotides) under Neobatrachus pelobatoides. RNAcentral describes it as "partial 12S ribosomal RNA". It matches the Rfam family "Bacterial small subunit ribosomal RNA", at positions 869 to 1384 of the family's 1533-position model. The record is from RNAcentral. Lineage: Eukaryota; Metazoa; Chordata; Amphibia; Anura; Limnodynastidae.